RNA transcript from Nematostella vectensis (starlet sea anemone), 389 nucleotides. RefSeq lists it as uncharacterized. NCBI's taxonomy places the organism in Eukaryota, Metazoa, Cnidaria, Anthozoa, Actiniaria, Edwardsiidae. The record is from RefSeq and is a predicted model, not a curated record. The transcript is spliced from 3 exons.
GAUCAUUGGGGGUGUACAUAUUGUUGCUCAAACAAACGUUACUCCAAGAGUGUUCGUUUUUCUUGGUCGAAUGUUCAUCGUUUAAAACAGACUGCAUAAGCAUGCAAGCAUUGAAGCCAGCGGUAAUUUGUGUGCUGCUUGCCUCGUGGCUUCUCGUCAAUGCUGAUGACGUCAUCAAUGUUAUCCAAGAAGAUGGCAGAGGUCAGCCCAAGCCUCCUCCACCGAUGUGUUUUUCGACCUUUGUGGAAUGCAUGACAGAAGCGAAAGCAUCUGGUAAUAGCUGCGAAGAAAGACUGGAGUGUUUUCUCCAACUUCAUGUUUGUAAACAACGCUGGGCAAAAAGCAUUGGAAUCAAGGAUCCUUAUUUGCAAUAAACAAAUUGCUUUUUG